UCACCUCUCAAGCUCGGCUUGGUGUUGGACCCCCUUAGGCCCGGGCUUCGCCCCCGGCCGGUCCCAAAAGUAAUGACGGCGUCGCGUGGACUCUCGGUGCAACGAGCUUUUUUACAAAGGCACGCAACGAGUUGAAAGGCCCCGUGGCACGGUCCCAACCUACAAACUUCUUCAA
Molecule: unclassified non-coding RNA, 175 nt
Filed under: uncultured Chaetothyriales
Lineage: Eukaryota; Fungi; Ascomycota; Eurotiomycetes; Chaetothyriales
Description: sequence contains ITS2
Source: RNAcentral